GAUGAACGCUGGCGGCGUGCCUAAUACAUGCAAGUCGAGCGAACGGACGAGAAGCUUGCUUCUCUGAUGUUAGCGGCGGACGGGUGAGUAACACGUGGAUAACCUACCUAUAAGACUGGGAUAACUUCGGGAAACCGGAGCUAAUACCGGAUGAUAUUUUGAACCGCAUGGUUCAAAAGUAAAAGACGGUCUUGCUGUCACUUAUAGAUGGAUCCGCGCUGCAUUAGCUAGUUGGUAAGGUAACGGCUUACCAAGGCAACGAUGCAUAGCCGACCUGAGAGGGUGAUCGGCCACACUGGAACUGAGACACGGUCCAGACUCCUACGGGAGGCAGCAGUAGGGAAUCUUCCGCAAUGGGCGAAAGCCUGACGGAGCAACGCCGCGUGAGUGAUGAAGGUCUUCGGAUCGUAAAACUCUGUUAUUAGGGAAGAACAUAUGUGUAAGUAACUGUGCACAUCUUGACGGUACCUAAUCAGAAAGCCACGGCUAACUACGUG
This 497-nucleotide ribosomal RNA is filed under the name uncultured bacterium. Its description in RNAcentral is "partial 16S ribosomal RNA". It matches the Rfam family "Bacterial small subunit ribosomal RNA", at positions 28 to 507 of the family's 1533-position model. The record is from RNAcentral.